UGAGUGUAAGUGCACAAGGGAGCUUGACUGUGAGACCGACGGGUCGAGCAGGGACGAAAGUCGGGACUAGUGAUCCGGCGGUGGCUUGUGGAAGCGCCGUCGCUCAACGGAUAAAAGGUACCCCGGGGAUAACAGGCUGAUCUUCCCCAAGAGUCCAUAUCGACGGGAUGGUUUGGCACCUCGAUGUCGGCUCGUCGCAUCCUGGGGCUGGAGUCGGUCCCAAGGGUUGGGCUGUUCGCCCAUUAAAGCGGUACGCGAGCUGGGUUUAGAACGUCGUGAGACAGUUCGGUCCCUAUCCGCUGUGCGCGUAGGAAUAUUGAGAAGGGCUGUCCCUAGUACGAGAGGACCGGGACGGACGAACCUCUGGUGUGCCAGUUGUUCUGCCAAGGGCAUGGCUGGUUGGCUACGUUCGGGAGGGAUAACCGCUGAAAGCAUCUAAGCGGGAAGCCUGCUUCGAGAUGAGUGUUCCCACCUCCUUGAGAGGGUAAGGCUCCCAGUAGACGACUGGGUUGAUAGGCCGGAUAUGGAAGCCCUGUAAGGGGUGGAGUUGACCGGUACUAAUAGGCCGAGGGCUUGUCCUCAGUUG
This 586-nucleotide ribosomal RNA is filed under the name Streptomyces sp. SID8014. RNAcentral's name for it is "partial 23S ribosomal RNA". It matches the Rfam family "Bacterial large subunit ribosomal RNA", at positions 2346 to 2925 of the family's 2925-position model. Lineage: Bacteria; Bacillati; Actinomycetota; Actinomycetes; Kitasatosporales; Streptomycetaceae. The record is from RNAcentral.